RNAcentral lists this transfer RNA (68 nucleotides) under Tylonycteris fulvida. RNAcentral describes it as "tRNA-Lys". It matches the Rfam family "tRNA". Rfam says of the family: Transfer RNA (tRNA) molecules are approximately 80 nucleotides in length. Their secondary structure includes four short double-helical elements and three loops (D, anti-codon, and T loops). The record is from RNAcentral. Lineage: Eukaryota; Metazoa; Chordata; Mammalia; Chiroptera; Vespertilionidae.
CAUUAAGAAGCUAAUUAGCACUAACCUUUUAAGUUAGAGAUUAAGAGUUUUAAAUCUCUUCUUAAUGA